UAGGGAUUAAUAAUUUAUGUAGCUAUUUAAUUGGGGCUAGCUAAAGGCCCAAAAACCAUCAUUUCAAUCCGGGUUUACUGUGGCGGGAAAGUCCAACAAAUAUCCGAAUAUCCCGUCGAUGUCAUUUUCGCUGAAGGUAGAAUCCUCCGUCAAUGGAACUUCGAGUGGCUGUGAAGAUUCUAUGGAAGUGGCGUGAUCUCUAAUGUACUUCAAGGUAUCUUAGGUUAGUCAGUGUUUUCGAUUGAUUUAAUCGGAUUUUGCGAAACUGAAAAUUGUAGACUGCUUAUCGAGUAAACUGUCUAGUGAGUCCUAGGUCGUCGAAUCAAAUAUUAAUAGUGAAAAGUAUUAGGGUUUAUCCAAUUGUUAGGCCUUUUGCAAGUGCGAUUCUGUGAUAGCUUAGGUUUUCGAUUGGAAGAUCGAAAAUUUAAAAAUGUUCAAAUUCAAGAAGAGAAGAUUGACGCACCAAAGCGAAAAAAAAUCUUAUGUAGAACUCUCACUAGAAGCAAUGUAAAUAUUAAACCCUCAUUUAUUAUUUUAUUUGGCUAUUGAAUAACCAGUAAUAUACAUGUUGAAUUAUUGUUGUAAUAACUGCACAAUUUUUUUUUUUAUCUAGGUCUGUCUCUUAUCUCCAAAGCAGAGCCAAAAGAGACAAAACAAUCAAACAGCUUUCUUCUGUCCUGUAAACUCGGAAUCAGAAGAAGCUUCAUGUUCUUUUGACCAGGGAGAUUCCAUUAGGAUCACCACCCCACUCUUCAAACACAACUAUAAGGUUCUGAGACUUGAGCCAUGAACGAGGUACAUGAUACCUGCAAAAAAGAGAGAAAUAGAGACAGAGCUCUCUGAAUCAAGAUUUGCACUAAAUAGAUGAAAAGUGAAAGAAGAAGCUGUUUUUUCCUCUCACCAUUUUUGAGAAGCUUCGCCGCAAUUACUCAGACAUUUCUUUGCGUCGAAAGUUCCGGCGUAGUUGCAUCGCCCGCAGUUUCCUUGAGCUUUAUAAGCAGGCCAAUGACGUCCAAUGUUUCGACCGUUUAUCCAAACUUGACCUUUCCCCAUUGUGUUCAUGUCCAAAGCCAAUGGUUCGUUUCCUGCCGGUGUGGUAAAAGUAGACAGCAAUAGAAAGAGAAAAGUUAUGUUCAUUUGUUCAUUUUAUCAUAUUUGUUUAUGGAGAUGAUGUUUGAUUCUUGUGUAUUUCUCUUACCUUGUACCAGGUCAAUGGUUGCUUCUUGACCACUAAUGAUCCUUGAUUCCAUCUCACGGUGGAACUGUCGGUAUGAAGACUCAAACCUUCACCCUUAACACCAAUCUGUUCAAAAUCACAUUUAAAAUUCAUUGUUAUGAUUAGUUUGUUGUUACCAGGAAACUCAAAACUUGAGAGUUGGUUUUGAAUUUCAGGGAGGACCUUAUAAGACCAUUUCCAUUUUGACAUUUCCCAUGUUCCCGAGUUAACUCCUUUCAGUGUGACCGGUCCAAGAACCCCUUUAUUCCACUUCUCAAAGUGUGUACCGACAUUCUGCAACCAAACCAAGAACCAUAAAGCUCAAAGAUCUAAUUAUCUUCUGCGGACAAAAAACUGCUAUUACAAGAGAUAGGAUUAUCUCAUCAGGAACUAACCGG
Molecule: long non-coding RNA, 1614 nt
Filed under: Eutrema salsugineum
Lineage: Eukaryota; Viridiplantae; Streptophyta; Magnoliopsida; Brassicales; Brassicaceae
Description: long non-coding RNA (ESAL_LNC001156)
Source: RNAcentral